GAAAGGCUUCGGCCGGACAGGGAUGGGCAUGCGGCGCAUUAGGCAGUAGGCGGGGUAACGGCCCACCUAACCGACGAUGCGUAGGGGUUCUGAGAGGAAGGUCCCCCACACUGGUACUGAGACACGGACCAGACUCCUACGGGAGGCAGCAGUGAGGAAUAUUGGUCAAUGGUCGGGAGACUGAACCAGCCAAGCCGCGUGAGGGAUGAAGGUACAGAGUAUCGUAAACCUCUUUUGUCAGGGAACAAAGGCGGGGACGUGUCCCCGGAUGAGUGUACCUGAAGAAAGAGCAUCGGCUAACUCCGUGCCAGCAGCCGCGGUAAUACGGAGGAUGCGAGCGUUAUCCGGAUUUAUUGGGUUUAAAGGGUGCGCAGGCGGUCUGUUAAGUCAGCGGUCAAAGCCCGGAGCUCAACCCCGGCCCGCCGUUGAAACUGGCAGUCUCGAGUUGGAGAGAAGUAUGCGGAAUGCGCGGUGUAGCGGUGAAAUGCAUAGAUAUCGCGCAGAACUCCGAUUGCGAAGGCAGCAUGCCGGCUCCACACUGACGCUGAGGCACGAAAGCGUGGGUAUCGAACAGGAUUAGAUACCCUGGUAGUCCACGCAGUAAACGAUGAAUGCUGGCUGUCCGGGGGGAUUGACCCCUGG
This 642-nucleotide ribosomal RNA is filed under the name uncultured bacterium. RNAcentral's name for it is "bacterial SSU rRNA". It matches the Rfam family "Bacterial small subunit ribosomal RNA", at positions 202 to 842 of the family's 1533-position model. The record is from RNAcentral.